GAUGAACGCUAGCGGGAGGCCUAACACAUGCAAGCUUAGCGGUAUUGUUUCUUCGGAAAUGAGAGAGCGGCGUACGGGUGCGGAACACGUGUGCAACCUGCCUUUAUCUGGGGGAUAGCCUUUCGAAAGGAAGAUUAAUACUCCAUAAUAUAUUGAACGGCAUCGUUUAAUAUUGAAAGCUCCGGCGGAUAGAGAUGGGCACGCGCAAGAUUAGCUAGUUGGUGAGGUAACGGCUCACCAAGGCGAUGAUCUUUAGGGGGCCUGAGAGGGUGAUCCCCCACACUGGUACUGAGACACGGACCAGACUCCUACGGGAGGCAGCAGUGAGGAAUAUUGGUCAAUGGGUGCAAGCCUGAACCAGCCAUCCCGCGUGAAGGACGACUGCCCUAUGGGUUGUAAACUUCUUUUGUAUAGGGAUAAACCUACCCUCGUGAGGGUAGCUGAAGGUACUAUACGAAUAAGCACCGGCUAACUCCGUGCCAGCAGCCGCGGUAAUACGGAGGGUGCAAGCGUUAUCCGGAUUUAUUGGGUUUAAAGGGUCCGUAGGCGGACUUAUAAGUCAGUGGUGAAAGCCUGUCGCUUAACGAUAGAACUGCCAUUGAUACUGUAAGUCUUGAGUAUAUUUGAGGUAGCUGGAAUAAGUAGUGUAGCGGUGAAAUGCAUAGAUAUUACUUAGAACACCAAUUGCGAAGGCAGGUUACCAAGAUAUAACUGACGCUGAGGGACGAAAGCGUGGGGAGCGAACAGGAUUAGAUACCCUGGUAGUCCACGCCGUAAACGAUGCUAACUCGUUUUUGGGCUUUAGGGUUCAGAGACCAAGCGAAAGUGAUAAGUUAGCCACCUGGGGAGUACGCUCGCAAGGGUGAAACUCAAAGGAAUUGACGGGGGCCCGCACAAGCGGUGGAUUAUGUGGUUUAAUUCGAUGAUACGCGAGGAACCUUACCAAGACUUAAAUGGGAAUUGACAGCUUUAGAAAUAGAGCUUUCUUCGGACAAUUUUCAAGGUGCUGCAUGGUUGUCGUCAGCUCGUGCCGUGAGGUGUUAGGUUAAGUCCUGCAACGAGCGCAACCCCUGUCACUAGUUGCCAUCAUUCAGUUGGGGACUCUAGUGAGACUGCCUACGCAAGUAGAGAGGAAGGUGGGGAUGACGUCAAAUCAUCACGGCCCUUACGUCUUGGGCCACACACGUAAUACAAUGGCCGGUACAGAGGGCAGCUACACAGCGAUGUGAUGCAAAUCUCGAAAGCCGGUCUCAGUUCGGAUUGGAGUCUGCAACUCGACUCUAUGAAGCUGGAAUCGCUAGUAAUCGCGCAUCAGCCAUGGCGCGGUGAAUACGUUCCCGGGCCU
Molecule: ribosomal RNA, 1345 nt
Filed under: uncultured bacterium
Lineage: Bacteria
Description: bacterial SSU rRNA
Rfam family: Bacterial small subunit ribosomal RNA
Source: RNAcentral